Molecule: long non-coding RNA, 204 nt
Organism: Sander lucioperca (pikeperch)
Lineage: Eukaryota; Metazoa; Chordata; Actinopteri; Perciformes; Percidae
Exons: 3
Source: RefSeq, a predicted model, not a curated record
CAAUGCUAAAAUUACUGUUUAUUUACAUGGAGUCUGGUGGGUUUGGCGAUGGUGAUUUUGGUUUCAUGUUAAACAAAAAGGAUCUUACUCUUUAACAAAAACGUCUAUAUCUGAAGGGAUUCUUUCCAUAAUGUUUUCAGACACUUAGAAUAAUAACCUGAGUCUGUCAGUGGCAAAACGAGCACUUUUAGUGGACGGAAAUUG